CGCGCAGGCGGUCCUGUUUGUCGAGUGUGAAAGCCCCGGGCUCAACCUGGGAACUGCGCUCGAAACGGCGGGACUAGAGAUCGGGAGAGGAGCGUGGAAUUCCCAGUGUAGAGGUGAAAUUCGUAGAUAUUGGGAAGAACACCGGUGGCGAAGGCGGCGCUCUGGACCGAGACUGACGCUGAGGCGCGAAAGCGUGGGGAGCAAACA
RNAcentral lists this ribosomal RNA (207 nucleotides) under uncultured bacterium. RNAcentral's name for it is "partial 16S ribosomal RNA". It matches the Rfam family "Bacterial small subunit ribosomal RNA", at positions 568 to 774 of the family's 1533-position model. The record is from RNAcentral.